This 90-nucleotide transfer RNA is filed under the name Streptomyces alanosinicus. Its description in RNAcentral is "tRNA-Gly". The record is from RNAcentral. Lineage: Bacteria; Bacillati; Actinomycetota; Actinomycetes; Kitasatosporales; Streptomycetaceae.
UUGCCGUCGCCGAGGUCGGCGGCCCGGGUGACCGGCCCGGAGGCCGUCAGCGCCCGGCUGACCUUGGUGUUCUUCACCCCGGCGGCGAGC